UCCCCGUUGCCGAGGCAGUCUGUUUAGAAAAAUCCAACUAAACAUAAGGGUUGCGCUCGUUGCGGGACUUAACCCAACAUCUCACGACACGAGCUGACGACGGCCAUGCAUCACCUGUCACCGAGUUCCAAAAGGCACUCUCUUCUUUCGAAGAAAUUCUCGGGAUGUCAAGCCCUGGUAAGGUUCUUCGCUUAUCAUCGAAUUAAACAACACGCUCCACCGCUUGUGCGGGUCCCCGUCAAUUCCUUUGAGUUUUAAGCUUGCGCUCGUACUACUCAGGCGGGAUGCUUAACGCGUUAGCUUCGCUACGGAGGGGGUCGAUACCCCCCACAGCUAGCAUCCAUCGUUUACGGCGUGGACUAC
Molecule: unclassified non-coding RNA, 363 nt
Filed under: uncultured bacterium
Lineage: Bacteria
Description: contains 16S-23S intergenic spacer region
Source: RNAcentral